Molecule: long non-coding RNA, 611 nt
Organism: Ooceraea biroi (clonal raider ant)
Lineage: Eukaryota; Metazoa; Arthropoda; Insecta; Hymenoptera; Formicidae
Source: RefSeq, a predicted model, not a curated record
AUCGUUUCCUCGUCAGGCCACAAGCCGAAAGCGAGUAGAAGUAGCCGAUUGAGACUGAAGAACCGCUUCUUAAUACAGACCAUCAUUGACGGUAAAUUAUUUAAUUUAUUUAAAUUGGCAUAAACGUAUCGCAAGAUGGUGCAUAACACUACCAUGCAAUUAUAACAGCUGUUUGAUGACAAUUUACUGUCUCCGCACGAGAAAAGUGCUCAAUACUUAAGAAAUUUAUCUCAAAUGAAAAGAAGAAAAAUUUCAACGUGUGUUUCCUUCCCACGAAAAAUAUUCGAAAAAUGAUGCCGGAGAAGGAAGUACACGCAAGCGCAGUUCCCCUUUCUAACACUCUUCAGUUCUUGGUGCUUCAGUCCGUUGUGUGCAGUCAUGAUGUUCACAUCGUGGGUUGAGCGGAGCAGCGGCUUAUCGAUUUUAUAUAGGUACAUACAUCUAAAGUCUGGAAUUACCAGUAAGGUACAUACAAUCACCAAUCUGUUAUUUGCAAUUAAUGUUGCCUUAUGCUUAGUGAAGGAUUUAAAAUGUAAAUAUAAGUGGGACUCCACAAUAUUUUGUUGUGGUAAUAAAUGUAAAUGGAAACAAUAAAGGUCAUAAAUUAUCAA